RNAcentral lists this microRNA precursor (136 nucleotides) under Hordeum vulgare. RNAcentral's name for it is "microRNA MIR1122". It matches the Rfam family "MIR1120/MIR1122 microRNA precursor family". The record is from RNAcentral. Lineage: Eukaryota; Viridiplantae; Streptophyta; Magnoliopsida; Poales; Poaceae.
UACGUACUCCCUCCGUCCCAAAAUUCUUGUCUUAAAUUCGUCUACAUAUAAAUGUAUCUAGUCACGUUUUAGUAUUUACAUGCAUCCAUUUUUAGAUAAACUUAAGACAAGAAUUUUGGGACGGAGGGAGUAUAUG